Molecule: long non-coding RNA, 118 nt
Organism: Salarias fasciatus (jewelled blenny)
Lineage: Eukaryota; Metazoa; Chordata; Actinopteri; Blenniiformes; Blenniidae
Exons: 3
Source: RefSeq, a predicted model, not a curated record
AGGGAAACAUUGUGGAAUAGGGAUGGGGCCGAUCCGAUCCAGUAUCGGUAUCGGGUUCCGAUACUAAAGAAAUUCACGGUUCGGAAAUUUCCGAUCUGACCUGUGAAAAUUUCCGAUC